This 505-nucleotide ribosomal RNA is filed under the name uncultured bacterium. Its description in RNAcentral is "partial 16S ribosomal RNA". It matches the Rfam family "Bacterial small subunit ribosomal RNA", at positions 29 to 522 of the family's 1533-position model. The record is from RNAcentral.
AUUGAACGCUGGCGGCAGGCCUAACACAUGCGAGUCGGACGGUAGCACAGAGGAGCUUGCUCUUCGGGUGACGAGUGGCGGACGGGUGAGUAAUGUCUGGGGAUCUGCCCGAUAGAGGGGGAUAACCACUGGAAACGGUGGCUAAUACCGCAUAACGUCGCAGGACCAAAGAGGGGGACCUUCGGGCCUCUCACUAUCGGAUGAACCCAGAUGGGAUUAGCUAGUAGGCGGGGUAACGGCCCACCUAGGCGACGAUCCCUAGCUGGUCUGAGAGGAUGACCAGCCACACUGGAACUGAGACACGGUCCAGACUCCUACGGGAGGCAGCAGUGGGGAAUAUUGCACAAUGGGCGCAAGCCUGAUGCAGCCAUGCCGCGUGUAUGAAGAAGGCCUUCGGGUUGUAAAGUACUUUCAGCGGGGAGGAAGGCGAUGUGGUUAAUAACCGCGUCGAUUGACGUUACCCGCAGAAGAAGCACCGGCUAACUCCGUGCCAGCCGCCGCAUAA